UACGGAGGGUGCAAGCGUUGUUCGGAAUUACUGGGCGUAAAGGGCGCGUAGGCGGUAAUGUAAGUCAGAUGUGAAAUCCUUCGGCUCAACCGGAGAACUGCAUCUGAAACUGCAUAACUAGAGUACAGAAGAGGGAAACGGAAUUCCCGGUGUAGAGGUGAAAUUCGUAGAUAUCGGGAGGAACACCAGUGGCGAAGGCGGUUUCCUGGUCUGAUACUGACGCUGAGGCGCGAAAGCGUGGGGAGCAAACAGG
RNAcentral lists this ribosomal RNA (253 nucleotides) under uncultured bacterium. RNAcentral describes it as "partial 16S ribosomal RNA". It matches the Rfam family "Bacterial small subunit ribosomal RNA", at positions 524 to 776 of the family's 1533-position model. The record is from RNAcentral.